CUAUGGUAUGUGUUAGAGGGUAGGUCUAUGGUAUGUGUUAGAGGGAUUCAGUAGGUCUAUGGUAUGUGUUAGAGGGAUUCAGUAGGCCUAUGGUAUGUGUUAGAGGGAUUCAGUAGGUCUAUGGUAUGUGUUAGAGGGAUUCAGUAGGUCUAUGGUAUGUGUUAGAGGGAUUCAGUAGGUCUAUGGUAU
Salvelinus fontinalis (brook trout) is the source of this 189-nucleotide long non-coding RNA. RefSeq lists it as uncharacterized. The transcript has 3 exons. The record is from RefSeq and is a predicted model, not a curated record. Lineage: Eukaryota; Metazoa; Chordata; Actinopteri; Salmoniformes; Salmonidae.